AUACGUAGGGGGCAAGCGUUGUCCGGAAUGAUUGGGCGUAAAGGGCGCGUAGGCGGCCUGUUAAGUCUGGAGUGAAAGUCCUGCUUUCAAGGUGGGAAGUGCUUUGGAAACUGGCGGGCUGGAGUGCAGGAGAGGUUAGCGGAAUUCCCGGUGUAGCGGUGAAAUGCGUAGAGAUCGGGAGGAACACCAGCGGCGAAGGCGGCUAACUGGACUGUAACUGACGCUGAGGCGCGAAAGUGU
Molecule: ribosomal RNA, 240 nt
Filed under: uncultured bacterium
Lineage: Bacteria
Description: partial 16S ribosomal RNA
Rfam family: Bacterial small subunit ribosomal RNA
Source: RNAcentral